UCCCUGGUGGUCCAGUGGUUAAGAUGCCAUGCUUCCAAUGCAGGAAACCCGGGUUCGAUCCCUGGUCAGGGAA
This 73-nucleotide transfer RNA is filed under the name Tursiops truncatus (common bottlenose dolphin). RNAcentral's name for it is "tRNA-Trp (CCA) (tRNA-Trp-CCA-28-1)". It matches the Rfam family "tRNA". From Rfam's summary of the family: Transfer RNA (tRNA) molecules are approximately 80 nucleotides in length. Lineage: Eukaryota; Metazoa; Chordata; Mammalia; Artiodactyla; Delphinidae. RNAcentral also lists the same sequence under 4 other names. The record is from Rfam by way of RNAcentral.